RNAcentral lists this ribosomal RNA (460 nucleotides) under uncultured bacterium. RNAcentral's name for it is "partial 16S ribosomal RNA". It matches the Rfam family "Bacterial small subunit ribosomal RNA", at positions 338 to 795 of the family's 1533-position model. The record is from RNAcentral.
CCUACGUGGUGCAGCAGUGAGGAAUAUUGGUCAAUGGGCGCGAGCCUGAACCAGCCAAGUAGCGUGAAGGAUGACUGCCCUACGGGUUGUAAACUUCUUUUAUAAAGGAAUAAAGUGAGGCACGUGUGCCUUUUUGUAUGUACUUUAUGAAUAAGGAUCGGCUAACUCCGUGCCAGCAGCCGCGGUAAUACGGAGGAUCCGAGCGUUAGCCGGAUUUAUUGGGUUUUAAGGGAGCGUAGAUGGUUUGUUAAGUCAGUUGUGAAAGUUUGCGGCUCAACCGUAAAAUUGCAAUUGAUACUGGCAGUCUUGAGUACAGUUGAGGUAGGCGGAAUUCGUGGUGUAGCGGUGAAAUGCUUAGAUAUCACGAAGAACUCCGAUUGCGAAGGCAGCUUACUAAACUGCCACUGACAUUGAUGCUCGAAAGUGUGGGUAUCAAACAGGAUUAGAUACCCCAGUAGUC